Molecule: unclassified non-coding RNA, 501 nt
Filed under: Hevea brasiliensis (rubber tree)
Lineage: Eukaryota; Viridiplantae; Streptophyta; Magnoliopsida; Malpighiales; Euphorbiaceae
Source: RNAcentral
GCACCUACUAGAUUGAUCUAGGGAGCAAGAAUUAGAUGACUUAUCGAGUGUUCCAAUGAAAUUCCUUAUCUUCUCAAUCUCUUCUUUGUUGAACUUUUUGAAUUCAUCACCAUUGAGAUUCUGUGUAGGUCCUUCUUGGUUUGUGAAAUUCUCCAAGCUGCCUUGCUGAUUCCCUUUAAAUCCGCCAUUCCUGUUGAGAACUUGUGCCUUCCCAUGCAGCUUAAAACAAUUCUCCUUGGUAUGGCGAGGUUUCUUACAGUAAGUACACCAUAAAUCAUCACGAGCAGGUUACUUGCCUUGUUUAUGAUCACUUCUGUCACCCAGUCCUUGUUCCAAACUGUUAAACUUGUUUCCUCUAUCUACAAGUUUCUUUGAGACCAUGGCUGAUCCCUCGGAUUGCUGGGAUUUUAGCAUCACUAUUCUGCGGCUUUUUUCUCCACGUGCUAUUGAGAAUACCUCACUCAAAGGUGGCAGCUUCUCCUUACCAAGAAUCUGAAUCCG